Molecule: unclassified non-coding RNA, 333 nt
Filed under: soil metagenome
Description: partial contains 5.8S ribosomal RNA, internal transcribed spacer 2, and large subunit ribosomal RNA
Rfam family: 5.8S ribosomal RNA (bases 1-120)
Source: RNAcentral
GAUGAAGAACGCAGCGAAAUGCGAUAAGUAGUGUGAAUUGCAGAAUUCAGUGAAUCAUCGAAUCUUUGAACGCACAUUGCGCCCCUUGGUAUUCCAUGGGGCAUGCCUGUUCGAGCGUCAUUUGUACCUUCAAGCUUUGCUUGGUGUUGGGUGUUUGUCCAUUCUCUUGCAGAGGGACUCGCCUUAAAGUAAUUGGCAGCCAGUGUUUUGGUUUUGAAGCGCAGCACAAGUCGCGAUUCAACGCUAUACGCCAGCUUCCACAAGCCUUUUUCACUUUUGACCUCGGAUCAGGUAGGGAUACCCGCUGAACUUAAGCAUAUCAAUAGCGGAGGA